UACGUAGGGUGCGAGCGUUAAUCGGAAUUACUGGGCGUAAAGCGUGCGCAGGCGGUCGUGCAAGACAGAUGUGAAAUCCCUGGGCUCAACCCAGGAACUGCGUCCGAUACUGGUUGGCUUGAAUCCGGGAGAGGGAUGUGGAAUUCCAGGUGUAGCGGUGAAAUGCGUAGAUAUCUGGAGGAACACCGGUGGCGAAGGCGACAUCCUGGACCGGUAUUGACGCUGAGGCGCGAAAGCCAGGGGAGCAAACGGG
This 253-nucleotide ribosomal RNA is filed under the name uncultured bacterium. RNAcentral's name for it is "partial 16S ribosomal RNA". It matches the Rfam family "Bacterial small subunit ribosomal RNA", at positions 524 to 776 of the family's 1533-position model. The record is from RNAcentral.